AAUUCAUAAUUAAUUGAGUAUGAAAACAAAUUUAUCGUUUAUUUUCAUGGCAAAAAAAAUGGAAAUUUUAUUUUGUGCAAAAGUAAAAUACUAAUUCGCGACGAGGGACGGUAAUUCUAGUUGGCAAGAUGCAGGGAAUGGAAGCUGCUUAGUCACCAUUUCGUAAAGAAUAACACCCAUACUCCAUAUGUCCGAUUUUAAAUCAUACGGUUGACACGAAAGCAUUUCUGGAGACAUGUAGCAAUAAGAUCCAGCACGACUCAUGGACUCCCUAAAGUAUAAAAAGAAAUAAUAAUAUUCAUUCAUAAUAUAAAGUUUACUCA
Molecule: long non-coding RNA, 323 nt
Filed under: Polistes fuscatus (common paper wasp)
Lineage: Eukaryota; Metazoa; Arthropoda; Insecta; Hymenoptera; Vespidae
Description: uncharacterized LOC122518319
Source: RNAcentral